UAAAUACUCCCUAGUGACCGAUAGUGAACCAGUACCGUGAGGGAAAGGUGAAAAGCACCCCGGAAGGGGAGUGAAACAGUUCCUGAAACCGUGUGCCUACAAGUAGUUAGAGCCCGUUAAUGGGUGAUAGCGUGCCUUUUGUAGAAUGAACCGGCGAGUUACGAUUUGUUGCAAGGUUAAGCGGAAAAAGCGGAGCCGUAGCGAAAGCGAGUCUGAAUAGGGCGCAUAAGUAACAGGUCGUAGACCCGAAACCAGGUGAUCUACCCAUGUCCAGGAUGAAGGUAAGGUAAUACUUACUGGAGGUCCGAACCCACGCACGUUGAAAAGUGCGGGGAUGAGGUGUGGGUAGCGGAGAAAUUCCAAUCGAACUUGGAGAUAGCUGGUUCUCUCCGAAAUAGCUUUAGGGCUAGCCUCGAGGUAAAGAGUCAUGGAGGUAGAGCACUGUUUGGACUAGGGGCCCUUCUCGGGUUACCGAAUUCAGAUAAACUCCGAAUGCCAUGUACUUAUACUCGGGAGUCAGACUGCGAGUGAUAAGAUCCGUAGUCGAAAGGGAAACAGCCCAGACCACCAGUUAAGGUCCCCAAAUAUAUGUUAAGUGGAAAAGGAUGUGGGGUUGCUUAGACAACCAGGAUGUUGGCUUAGAAGCAGCCACCAUUGAAAGAGUGCGUAAUAGCUCACUGGUCGAGUG
This 688-nucleotide ribosomal RNA is filed under the name Listeria monocytogenes. RNAcentral describes it as "partial 23S ribosomal RNA". It matches the Rfam family "Bacterial large subunit ribosomal RNA", at positions 467 to 1155 of the family's 2925-position model. The record is from RNAcentral. Lineage: Bacteria; Bacillati; Bacillota; Bacilli; Caryophanales; Listeriaceae.